GGGUUGUGAGGUUAAGCGACUAAGCGUACACGGUGGAUGCCCUGGCAGUCAGAGGCGAUGAAGGACGUGCUAAUCUGCGAUAAGCGUCGGUAAGGUGAUAUGAACCGUUAUAACCGGCGAUUUCCGAAUGGGGAAACCCAGUGUGUUUCGACACACUAUCAUUAACUGAAUCCAUAGGUUAAUGAGGCGAACCGGGGGAACUGAAACAUCUAAGUACCCCGAGGAAAAGAAAUCAACCGAGAUUCCCCCAGUAGCGGCGAGCGAACGGGGAGCAGCCCAGAGCCUGAAUCAGUGUGUGUGUUAGUGGAAGCGUCUGGAAAGGCGCGCGAUACAGGGUGACAGCCCCGUACACAAAAAUGCACAUGCUGUGAGCUCGAUGAGUAGGGCGGGACACGUGGUAUCCUGUCUGAAUAUGGGGGGACCAUCCUCCAAGGCUAAAUACUCCUGACUGACCGAUAGUGAACCAGUACCGUGAGGGAAAGGCGAAAAGAACCCCGGCGAGGGGAGUGAAAAAGAACCUGAAACCGUGUACGUACAAGCAGUGGGAGCACGCUUAGGCGUGUGACUGCGUACCUUUUGUAUAAUGGGUCAGCGACUUAUAUUCUGUAGCAAGGUUAACCGAAUAGGGGAGCCGAAGGGAAACCGAGUCUUAACUGGGCGUUAAGUUGCAGGGUAUAGACCCGAAACCCGGUGAUCUAGCCAUGGGCAGGUUGAAGGUUGGGUAACACUAACUGGAGGACCGAACCGACUAAUGUUGAAAAAUUAGCGGAUGACUUGUGGCUGGGGGUGAAAGGCCAAUCAAACCGGGAGAUAGCUGGUUCUCCCCGAAAGCUAUUUAGGUAGCGCCUCGUGAAUUCAUCUCCGGGGGUAGAGCACUGUUUCGGCAAGGGGGUCAUCCCGACUUACCAACCCGAUGCAAACUGCGAAUACCGGAGAAUGUUAUCACGGGAGACACACGGCGGGUGCUAACGUCCGUCGUGAAGAGGGAAACAACCCAGACCGCCAGCUAAGGUCCCAAAGUCAUGGUUAAGUGGGAAACGAUGUGGGAAGGCCCAGACAGCCAGGAUGUUGGCUUAGAAGCAGCCAUCAUUUAAAGAAAGCGUAAUAGCUCACUGGUCGAGUCGGCCUGCGCGGAAGAUGUAACGGGGCUAAACCAUGCACCGAAGCUGCGGCAGCGACGCUGAUGCGUUGUUGGGUAGGGGAGCGUUCUGUAAGCCUG
RNAcentral lists this ribosomal RNA (1219 nucleotides) under Escherichia coli. Its description in RNAcentral is "partial 23S ribosomal RNA". It matches the Rfam family "Bacterial large subunit ribosomal RNA", at positions 1 to 1251 of the family's 2925-position model. The record is from RNAcentral. Lineage: Bacteria; Pseudomonadati; Pseudomonadota; Gammaproteobacteria; Enterobacterales; Enterobacteriaceae.